GAGGAAAGUCCGAACUCCCGAAAGACCACACUUGCUGGAUAACGUCCAGUGCGCGCGAGCGUGAGGAUAGUGCCACAGAAAAAUACCGCCCCUUUUUUCAGUGAUUAGUAAACAGUGAUCAGUAAACAGUAACGAAAGUAAAUUCACUGAUAACUGAUAACUUUCCACUGAUAACUUUCCACUGAUAACUGAUAACUGAUAACUGAUAACUGAUUGGGGGUAAGGGUGCAAAGGUGCGGUAAGAGCGCACCAGCAGUAUCGAGAGGUACUGGCUCGGUAAACCCCGGUGGGGAGCAAGGUGGAGGGACAAAGGUUGGUCUUUUUCCUGUCCCGUUCUUAGGAACCGCUUGAGGUAAUUGGUGACAAUUAUCCCAGAUAGAUAACCUCUAUUCCAACAAAGGUAAA
RNAcentral lists this RNase P RNA (405 nucleotides) under Microcystis aeruginosa PCC 9809. RNAcentral describes it as "RNaseP_bact_a". It matches the Rfam family "Bacterial RNase P class A", at positions 43 to 337 of the family's 367-position model. From Rfam's summary of the family: Ribonuclease P (RNase P) is a ubiquitous endoribonuclease, found in archaea, bacteria and eukarya as well as chloroplasts and mitochondria. Its best characterised activity is the generation of mature 5'-ends of tRNAs by cleaving the 5'-leader elements of precursor-tRNAs. Cellular RNase Ps are ribonucleoproteins. Lineage: Bacteria; Bacillati; Cyanobacteriota; Cyanophyceae; Chroococcales; Microcystaceae. The record is from RNAcentral.